This 164-nucleotide ribosomal RNA is filed under the name Rhynchosia minima (least snoutbean). RNAcentral's name for it is "5.8S ribosomal RNA". It matches the Rfam family "5.8S ribosomal RNA". Rfam says of the family: 5.8S ribosomal RNA (5.8S rRNA) is a component of the large subunit of the eukaryotic ribosome. It is transcribed by RNA polymerase I as part of the 45S precursor that also contains 18S and 28S rRNA. Lineage: Eukaryota; Viridiplantae; Streptophyta; Magnoliopsida; Fabales; Fabaceae. The record is from RNAcentral.
AAAAUGACUCUCGGCAACGGAUAUCUCGGCUCUUGCAUCGAUGAAGAACGUAGCGAAAUGCGAUACUUGGUGUGAAUUGCAGAAUCCCGUGAACCAUCGAGUCUUUGAACGCAAGUUGCGCCUGAAGCCAUUAGGCUGAGGGCACGCCUGCCUGGGUGUCACAC